CCAAAAGAGAGUUUUUUUUUCCCCCUCUGUCUGGAGUUUCGUCAUUUUGUGGCUCUAACGAUGAAUAAGGAGCCGGUUGAGGCGGUGGAGGUGCAGGCGCAGCCGGCGUUGGGUCGGCGGCGACGGCGAAACCAUCGACCAUAAUCGGAGCAUUUCUGAGCUGAUCUCCGUUCUCAGGACGUCGCCCUACUUCGACCGUGUCGAUGAGAUUUUGAUCGCGAGAGAGGAGAACCUGAAGCGAGAACUCCAGAAAAAGGACGAACAGCACGAGUUAACCAGAGAGAGUCUGGGGAUUGAGCGAUUCCAGAAGGCCGAAGCGGAGGAGGAGCUCAAGAGUUUCAAGGCCAGGUGCGCCGAACUCGAGAAUCUGAGGGAGAGCAUCGACGCAAUGCGGGAGAGAGUGACAAUGGCGGACGAAAGGGCGAAAUUGGCGGAGGAGCGUACGAAGAAGUCUGAAGAGACGUACGAGAAGCUUCUCAGAAAAGUUAAGAUGGCGGAGAACCAAAAAAGCUACGAUCUUGUUGAGUUAAAGAGGAAGAAUGGGGAGUUGGAGUCCGCGAAGAAGGGGGCCGAGGAAGAGCUUGAGCUAUGAAAGAGAGAAUUUGGGAAGUUGGAGGCUGAUACCAUAAAGAUUAUAAAUGCUAAAAAUAGAGCAAUGAUGAUUGUGCUCCGGGAGCCACCUCUUCUACUAAAGUUGACGUCCUCAAAAGAAAACGAUCGUCGUAGAUGUGAUUAUGUGAAUGAAGAUGAUAAUGUUGUUCCGGAUAAAAGGAUGGGGGCAAGAUCAACAUCUGUUUGUUGGUGGUUCCUCUGGUAAUUCUGACCAUGCAACAGUUACUUCUGCCACCGCUGGUGAUCUGGAAAACCAAAAUUUCCCAGCAAAUCAUGGUCAAGGCGUCUCACUUGAAGCAAAUGGAACACCAGAAAGAAGAGAUUUCUCUUAUUAUGCUGCCAAGUGUCUUGGGGUUUAGUUUGAUGAGUUCAUGGUUAAACUUCCUCUUCUUCUGACAACAGUAGCGAAUAGUAAUUUUAGUCAAGCAUCUUAUAGGUUGUAGAGAUACGUGACUGCGUAGUUGGAGAAUCGUAUUUAAACAUAAACAUUUUGUUCCGAGCUACUUGAAAUUAUGCGGUUCUGAGCGUUUUUUGUUGGUUGGUGCUGCAGCAGGGUAGCUCAUGCAUUACACAGACACAGAAUGCUGCCUAAUAGCUGGAUCAUUAUGCCAAGGAGUUGAAACUCACUCCUGUUUCCUUAUAUGCGUAUACUAAUCUGUGUCACUAUGGAUCUGUUUUCUUUUA
Long non-coding RNA from Morus notabilis, 1296 nucleotides. RefSeq lists it as uncharacterized. The transcript has 2 exons. Lineage: Eukaryota; Viridiplantae; Streptophyta; Magnoliopsida; Rosales; Moraceae. The record is from RefSeq and is a predicted model, not a curated record.